This 455-nucleotide ribosomal RNA is filed under the name Candidatus Obscuribacterales bacterium. RNAcentral describes it as "bacterial SSU rRNA". It matches the Rfam family "Bacterial small subunit ribosomal RNA", at positions 1079 to 1533 of the family's 1533-position model. Lineage: Bacteria; Bacillati; Candidatus Melainabacteria; Candidatus Obscuribacterales. The record is from RNAcentral.
GUUAAGUCCCGCAACGAGCGCAACCCCUGUCCUUAGUUGCCAGCAUUAAGUUGGGCUCUCUAAGGAGACUGCCGUGGUUAACACGGAGGAAGGUGGGGAUGACGUCAAGUCCUCAUGGCCUUUAUAUCCAGGGCGACACACGUGAUACAAUGGACGGUACAGAGGGAAGCGAAAGCGCGAGCUGGAGCCAAUCUCAAAAAGCCGUUCUCAGUUCGGAUUGGAGUCUGCAACUCGACUCCAUGAAGUUGGAAUCGCUAGUAAUCGCGGAUCAGCACGCCGCGGUGAAUACGUUCCCGGGCCUUGUACACACCGCCCGUCACACCACGAAAGCUGAUUGCACCAGAAGUCGUUGGGCUAACCCGCAAGGGAGGCAGGCGCCUAAGGUGUGGUUGGUAAUUGGGGUGAAGUCGUAACAAGGUAGCCGUAGGGGAACCUGCGGCUGGAUCACCUCCUUU